RNAcentral lists this ribosomal RNA (301 nucleotides) under uncultured bacterium. RNAcentral describes it as "partial 16S ribosomal RNA". It matches the Rfam family "Bacterial small subunit ribosomal RNA", at positions 509 to 807 of the family's 1533-position model. The record is from RNAcentral.
CAGCCGCCACGGGAAUACGUAGGGUGCGAGCGUUAAUCGGAAUUACUGGGCGUAAAGCGUGCGCAGGCGGUUAUAUAAGUCAGAUGUGAAAUCCCCGGGCUCAACCUGGGACCUGCAUUUGUGACUGUAUAGCUAGAGUACGGUAGAGGGGGAUGGAAUUCCGCGUGUAGCAGUGAAAUGCGUAGAUAUGCGGAGGAACACCGAUGGCGAAGGCAAUCCCCUGGACCUGUACUGACGCUCAUGCACGAAAGCGUGGGGAGCAAACAGGAUUAGAUACCCCCGUAGUCCCUGUCUCUUAUAC